This 416-nucleotide ribosomal RNA is filed under the name uncultured eukaryote. RNAcentral's name for it is "SSU rRNA". It matches the Rfam family "Eukaryotic small subunit ribosomal RNA", at positions 592 to 1013 of the family's 1831-position model. The record is from RNAcentral.
CAAUAGCGUAUAUUUAAGUUGUUGCAGUUAAAAAGCUCGUAGUUGGAUUUUGGUUAAGAGGGCGCGGUCGGCGUUUGGUCUGUACUGCGUUGUCUUGACUUCCUGAUGAGGACAUGCUCUUGGUUAACGCUGAGACAUGGAGUCAUCGUGGUUACUUGAAAAAUUAGAGUGUUCAAAGCGGGCUUACGCUUGAAUAUAUUAGCAUGGAAUAACACUAUAGGACUCCUGUCCUAUCUCGUUGGUCUCGGGAUGGGGAGUAAUGAUUAGCAAGGAACGGACAGUUGGGGGGCAUUCGUAUUUCAUUGUCAGAGGUGAAAUUCUUGGAUUUAUGAAAGACGAACUUCUGCGAAAGCAUUUGCCAAGGAUGUUUUUCAUUAAUCAAGAACGAAAGUUGGGGGCGUCGAAGACGAUCAGAU